UGUGCCGCCCUGAAGGGCGUAUGGUGGAUGCCUUGGCAGACAGUACCGAUGAAGGACGUUUGAGGAUGCGAUAAGCCUCGGGGAGCCUCCAACAUGGCUUCGAUCCGAGGAUUUCCGAAUGGGGCAACCCGCCGGCCGUCAUGGGCCGGCACGGAACCUUGUUGUUCCGGGGGUACGCAGGGAAGUGAAACAUCUCAGUACCUGCAGGAAGGGAUACUCCGUGAGUAGUGGCGAGCGAAAGCGGAUCAGACCAAACCAUGGGCGCGUGAUACCCGUCGGGGGUUGCGUCCGUGGUGUUGAGGGAGCGUGUGUCCCGGUUCCGACGGACCGGGCGGGAGUCAUAAAACGGCUUGCCAGGGGAACAGGCUUGAAGGCCUGGCCGCAGAGGGUGCCAGCCCCGUACCUGGAAGCUUGCCGUCUUCCGAUCAUGCGUCCCAAGUAGCGCGGGCCUCGUGGAAUCCCGUGUGAAUCCGCCCCGACCGUGGGGUAAGUCUAAGCAUACCUGUCUGACCGAUAGCGUACCAGUACCGUGAGGGAAAGGUGAAAAGCACCCCGGGAGGGGAGUGAAAGAGUUCCUGAAACCGUGCGCCUACAAUCCGUCGGAGCCUUCUUUGUGGGGUGACGGCGUGCCUAUCGAAAAAUGAGUCUGCGAGUCAGUGGUGCGUGGCGAGGCUAACCCGUCGUGGGGGAGCCGUAGCGAAGGCGAGUCUCAAAAGGCGUUUUGAGUCGCGUGCCCUGGACCCGAAGCGGGAUGAUCUAGCCCUGGGCAGGUUGAAGCGCGGGUAAGACCGCGUGGAGGACCGAACCCACCUGGGUUGAAAACCGGGGGGAUGACCUGGGGCUAGGGGUGAAAGGCCAAUCAAAUUCCGUGAUAGCUGGUUCUCUCCGAAAUGCAUUUAGGUGCAGCGUCGGUUGAUUGCAUCGCGGGGGUAGAGCUACUGGAUGCUUGCGGGCCCGUGUCGGGUACCAAUAGCAGCCAAACUCCGAAUACCGUGGAUGUGUAUUCCGGCAGUGAGUCGGCGGGGGAUAAGCUCCGUCGUCGAGAGGGAGACAGCCCAGAUCGUCGUCUAAGGUCCCGAAGCGUGUGCUAAGUGGGAAAGGAUGUGGAGUCGCAUAGACAGCCAGGAGGUUGGCUCAGAAGCAGCCAUCCUUGAAAGAGUGCGUAACAGCUCACUGGUCUAGUGGUUCCGCGCCGACAAUGUAGCGGGGCUCAAGCACACCACCGAAGACGCGGCAACGGCCUUUUCGGCCGUUGGGUAGGAGAGCGUCCCGCGUGGGGCGAAGCGGCCGUGGAAACGUGCCGUGGACCGCGCGGGAGCGAGAAUGCAGACAUGAGUAGCGAGAGACGGGUGAGGAUCCCGUCCGCUGGAUGACCAAGGGUUCCGGGGCCACGUUCGUCGUCCCCGGGUGAGUCGGGUCCUAAGGCGAGGCCGACAGGCGUAGUCGAAUGGAUGAACGGGUGGAUAUUCCCGUACCGGCAGCGAACCGCAAGAGCCGAACGGAUGAGUACUAACCUCCGGUCGCGUGGCGUCGUUCCCUUCGGGGUUCGGUGUCCGCGAUUGUUGGGAGCGUAGUCCUGGUAGGUUAGCGCACAGGGGUGACACGGAAUGGGAGCCGGCCGCGGAGGUGGUUUUCCGUGGUCAAGCACGCAGCCCGUCCCAUAGGCAAAUCCGUGGGACAUGUAGGGUGAGGUGCGAUGAUGGGCGCCUUUUGGCGCGAUAUCCGGUGGUCCAGGCCGUCGAGAAAAGCCUCGGCGCGAGGGGCGUUGCCGCCCGUACCCCAAACCGACACUGGUGGUCAGGUAGAGAAUACCAAGGCGAUCGAGCGAAUCCUGGUCAAGGAACUCGGCAAAUCACUCCCGUGCCUUCGGUAUAAGGGAGACCCCCGGACGUGAAGAGGCUUGCCCUCGGAGCGUCGGGGGGUGGCACAGACCAGGGGGUAGCGACUGUUUACCAAAAACACAGGUGCAUGCGAAGGCGCAAGCCGCUGUAUAUGCACUGACGCCUGCCCGGUGCCGGAAGGUUAAGAGGAUCCGUCAGCCCUCGGGUGAAGCGGUGAAUUCAAGCCCCGGUAAACGGCGGUGGUAACUAUAACCAUCCUAAGGUAGCGAAAUUCCUUGUCGGGUAAGUUCCGACCUGCACGAAUGGUAAGCGCAGAAGGACGAAAAGACCCCGGGACCUUUACUAUACCUUGGUAUUGGCGUUAGGCGCGGAUUGUGUAGCAUAGGCGGGAGGCUUCGAAGCGCGGGCGCCAGCCCGUGUGGAGCCGCAAGGUGAAAUACCGCUCUGUUCUCGUUUGACGUCUAACCUCGGCAAGUCAUCCUUGUCAGGGACAGUGCCUGGCGGGUAGUUUAACUGGGGCGGUUGCCUCCCAAAGAGUAACGGAGGCGCUCAAAGGUCCGCUCAGCCCGGUUGGCAAUCGGGUUUCGAGUGUAAUCGCACAAGCGGGCUUGACUGCGAGAGCGACGGUUCGAGCAGGGACGAAAGUCGGAGAUAGUGAUCCGGUGCCGGCGCACGGGCGCGGCAUCGCUCAACGGAUAAAAGGUACCCCGGGGAUAACAGGCUGAUCAUUCCCAAGAGUCCAUAUCGACGGGAUGGUUUGGCACCUCGAUGUCGGCGACAGUUUGGUCUCUAUCCUCUGCGCUCGUUGGAAUCCUGAGGAGGCCUGCCCAUAGUACGAGAGGACCUGGGUGGACGGACCUCUGGUAUGCCGGUUGUCGCGCCAGCGGCAUGGCCGGUUGGCUACGUUCGGGAGGGAUAACCGCUGAAAGCAUCUAAGCGGGAAGCCUGCUCCAAGAUUAGGAUUCCUUGGCACUUCGGUGCCUGUAGCCCGCAUGUGGAACACGUGUUCGAUAGGCCGGAGGUGGAAGUCCCGCGAGGGGUGGAGCCGACCGGUACUAACGGGCGAUCGCGGCACAUU
Molecule: ribosomal RNA, 2919 nt
Filed under: Bifidobacterium breve
Lineage: Bacteria; Bacillati; Actinomycetota; Actinomycetes; Bifidobacteriales; Bifidobacteriaceae
Description: 23S ribosomal RNA
Rfam family: Bacterial large subunit ribosomal RNA
Source: RNAcentral